RNAcentral lists this ribosomal RNA (301 nucleotides) under uncultured bacterium. RNAcentral describes it as "partial 16S ribosomal RNA". It matches the Rfam family "Bacterial small subunit ribosomal RNA", at positions 509 to 807 of the family's 1533-position model. The record is from RNAcentral.
CAGUAGCCACGGUAAUACGGAGGGUGCAAGCGUUAAUCGGAAUUACUGGGCGUAAAGCGCACGCAGGCGGUCUGACAAGUCAGAUGUGAAAUCCCCGGGCUUAACCUGGGAACUGCAUUUGAAACUGUCAGGCUGGAGUCUUGUAGAGGGGGGUAGAAUUCCAGGUGUAGCGGUGAAAUGCGUAGAGAUCUGGAGGAAUACCGGUGGCGAAGGCGGCCCCCUGGACAAAGACUGACGCUCAGGUGCGAAAGCGUGGGGAGCAAACAGGAUUAGAUACCCGGGUAGUCCAUGUCUCUUAUAC